This 484-nucleotide ribosomal RNA is filed under the name uncultured bacterium. RNAcentral describes it as "partial 16S ribosomal RNA". It matches the Rfam family "Bacterial small subunit ribosomal RNA", at positions 30 to 507 of the family's 1533-position model. The record is from RNAcentral.
AUUGAACGCUGGCGGCAGGCCUAACACAUGCAAGUCGAGCGGAUGAAGGGAGCUUGCUCCUGGAUUCAGCGGCGGACGGGUGAGUAAUGCCUAGGAAUCUGCUUGGCAGUGGGGGAUAACGUCCGGAAACGGGUGCUAAUACUGCAUACGUCCUGAUGGAGAAAGAGGGGGAUCUUCGGACCUCACGCUAUCAGAUGAGUCUAGGUCGGACUAGUUAGCUGGUGGGGUAAAGGCCUACCAAGCCGAGCAUCCGUAACUGGUCUGAGAGGAUGAUUGGUCACACUAGAACUUGAACACGGUCCUGGCUCCUGCGGGAGGCAGCAGUGGGGAAUGUUGGACAAUAGUCGGAAGCCUGAUCCAGCCAUGCCACGUGUGUGGAGAAGGUCUUCGGAUUGUAAAGCACUUUAAGUUGGGGGGAAGGGCAGUAAGUUAAUACCUUGCUGUUUUGACGUUACCAACAGAAUAAGCACCGGCUAACUUCGUG